UACGAAGGGGCUAGCGUUGCUCGGAAUCACUGGGCGUAAAGGGUGCGUAGGCGGGUCUUUAAGUCAGAGGUGAAAUCCCGGAGCUUAACUUCGGAACUGCCUUUGAUACUGGGUGUCUUGAGUGUGAGAGAGGUAUGUGGAACUCCGAGUGUAGAGGUGAAAUUCGUAGAUAUUCGGAAGAACACCAGUGGCGAAGGCGACAUACUGGCUCAUUACUGACGCUGAGGCUCGAAAGCGUGGGGAGCAAACAGG
This 252-nucleotide ribosomal RNA is filed under the name uncultured bacterium. RNAcentral's name for it is "partial 16S ribosomal RNA". It matches the Rfam family "Bacterial small subunit ribosomal RNA", at positions 524 to 776 of the family's 1533-position model. The record is from RNAcentral.